GCUGAUGUGGCUCAGUCGGUAGAGCGUCGCCUUGGUAAGGCGGAGGUCACGGGUUCAAUUCCCGUCAUCAGCU
RNAcentral lists this transfer RNA (73 nucleotides) under Blautia sp. Its description in RNAcentral is "tRNA-Thr". It matches the Rfam family "tRNA". From Rfam's summary of the family: Transfer RNA (tRNA) molecules are approximately 80 nucleotides in length. RNAcentral also lists the same sequence under 2 other names. Lineage: Bacteria; Bacillati; Bacillota; Clostridia; Lachnospirales; Lachnospiraceae. The record is from RNAcentral.